This 253-nucleotide ribosomal RNA is filed under the name uncultured bacterium. Its description in RNAcentral is "partial 16S ribosomal RNA". It matches the Rfam family "Bacterial small subunit ribosomal RNA", at positions 524 to 776 of the family's 1533-position model. The record is from RNAcentral.
UACAGAGGUCUCAAGCGUUGUUCGGAUUCAUUGGGCGUAAAGGGUGCGUAGGCGGCGCGGUAAGUCGGGUGUGAAAUCUCGGAGCUUAACUCCGAAACUGCAUUCGAUACUGCCGUGCUGGAGUAUGGGAGAGGUGAGUGGAAUUCCUGGUGUAGCGGUGAAAUGCGUAGAUAUCAGGAGGAACACCGGUGGCGAAGGCGGGUCUCUGGGCCGAAACUGACGCUGAGGAGCGAAAGCGUGGGGAGCAAACAGG